CCUCGUCACCUUUCAAUUUAGGAACCCAAGGCUCAUCCAUAAAAAAAUAGCAUCAUCGUGACUCCUCUCCAGGCAUAUCAGAAGGACACUGGGUUGCUCAAAAACCCCAAAUCCGCCGACUGCACCAAGUUUUAGUGUGGCGGGCGCAGACCGAUACACCAGACAAACAAAGCCACUUAACUGUCAGCUGAUGCCCGUGGUCCGUCAUCGGUGGUUUUCUCAGCUUGCCGCUGUGUUUAGGAUUUGCAUGAUUUACACACCGCCUCUGAUCCUUUGCAGUGUAUCCUGCUGCUGCUGCCACUGUGCUACCUUCUGCCUCGUGUCUUGUUGCUCCCGUCCUGCUAUUACUGUUCCUUUAGCUGCUGCUUCCCCUUCCUUUUUCAAUGCUCUCCUCUUUUUAUCCCUGGUCCUAGAUUGAAAAACUGCCUGUUGUCCAAUUGCCAAUGGCACCCCAGCUGUCUCACAUUAUUACUGCUGCUGUUAUCAAACUCAGAAGAAAACAAAACACCCUGUGCGCAAACGAAAAAUAAAUAAAUAAUAUAAACCAAACAAUACUUUUAAAAGAAAUCGUGGAAGCACAAGAAAAUAAAUAAAUAAAAGUGAACAGUCAAACAGAUUAAGCGGAACAAACAAACUAAUAAUAAUAACAAACACAAAUCAGACACACAGCCAUUAGUCACUUCUGUGACAGUCUUCCCACUUUAUAUUACUUUAAUUUUUUAGUAACUGAUCUAAAAACCUUGUAGCAGGUGAGACCUUUUUCCUAUUUGUUUUUAAUUAAGUAAUAAUUUAAUUAACGCUGCACUGUUCUGAACAAUCUGCGCACCUGUAUAUAAAGAGCUUGAUUCACAUGAUGAAUCAAGAUUGUUUGCUGUGGUUGCUUCGUUUGGGGUCUCCCUGCUGCUAUUUGAUGGGUGAACAGGGAAACGAGACGAUUGAUCAGUCCGGUUCACCCGAGGUGUCAGUGGCAUAUGGGAGAGGCUGCCCUGGCUUCAUUGUGCUUUAUCAACCCAUCCUUUGAACCUACCAUAGCAUAUAACUGCUGUUA
Acipenser ruthenus (sterlet) is the source of this 1048-nucleotide long non-coding RNA. RefSeq lists it as uncharacterized. The record is from RefSeq and is a predicted model, not a curated record. The transcript has 3 exons. Lineage: Eukaryota; Metazoa; Chordata; Actinopteri; Acipenseriformes; Acipenseridae.